ACGUUGUUCGGCAUAUUGGGCGUAAGAGCUCGUAGGCGGCGUGUCACGUCUGCUGUGAAAGACCGGGGCUUAACUCCGGUUCUGCAGUGGAUACGGGCAUGCUAGAGGUAGGUAGGGGAGACUGGAAUUCCUGGUGUAGCGGUGAAAUGCGCAGAUAUCAGGAGGAACACCGGUGGCGAAGGCGGGUCUCUGGGCCUUACCUGACGCUGAGGAGCGAAAGCAUGGGGAGCGAACAGGAUUAGAUACCCUGGUAGUCCAUGCCGUAAACGUUGGGCGCUAGGUGUGGGGACUUUCCACGGUUUCCGCGCCGUAGCUAACGCAUUAAGCGCCCCGCCUGGGGAGUACGGCCGCAAGGCUAAAACUCAAAGGAAUUGACGGGGGCCCGCACAAGCGGCGGAGCAUGUUGCUUAAUUCGACGCAACGCGAAGAACCUUACCAAGGUUUGACAUCACCCGUGGACUCGCAGAGAUGUGAGGUCAUUUAGUUGGCGGGUGACAGGUGGUGCAUGGCUGUCGUCAGCUCGUGUCGUGAGAUGUUGGGUUAAGUCCCGCAACGAGCGCAACCCUUGUUCCAUGUUGCCAGCACGUAAUGGUGGGGACUCAUGGGAGACUGCCGGGGUCAACUCGGAGGAAGGUGGGGAUGACGUCAAGUCAUCAUGCCCCUUAUGUCUUGGGCUGCAAACAUGCUACAAUGGCCGGUACAAUGGGCGUGCGAUACCGUAAGGUGGAGCGAAUCCCUAAAAGCCGGUCUCAGUUCGGAUUGGGGUCUGCAACUCGACCCCAUGAAGGUGGAGUCGCUAGUAAUCGCGGAUCAGCAACACCGCGGUGAAUACGUUACCAGGGCCUUGUACACACCGCCCGUCACGUCAUGAAAGUAAGGCAGCAACCCCCAAUAGUUGCCGCCCACCCUCUUGUGAGAGAGAUAAAUGAAAAUGGGGGUUGGCAAUUGGGACCAAAUCUACG
This 962-nucleotide ribosomal RNA is filed under the name Nocardiopsis sp. SMVB2. RNAcentral describes it as "bacterial SSU rRNA". It matches the Rfam family "Bacterial small subunit ribosomal RNA", at positions 538 to 1491 of the family's 1533-position model. Lineage: Bacteria; Bacillati; Actinomycetota; Actinomycetes; Streptosporangiales; Nocardiopsidaceae. The record is from RNAcentral.